GGAGAUUUAGCAUAACUAAUGCAAUUUACUUACACUAAAAAGAUAAAAUAUAAUUUUAAUCUCUU
This 65-nucleotide transfer RNA is filed under the name Polydora cf. ciliata DS-2023. RNAcentral describes it as "tRNA-Val". The record is from RNAcentral. Lineage: Eukaryota; Metazoa; Annelida; Polychaeta; Spionida; Spionidae.